Molecule: ribosomal RNA, 3094 nt
Filed under: Pseudomonas aeruginosa
Lineage: Bacteria; Pseudomonadati; Pseudomonadota; Gammaproteobacteria; Pseudomonadales; Pseudomonadaceae
Description: 23S ribosomal RNA
Rfam family: Bacterial large subunit ribosomal RNA
Source: RNAcentral
AAUCAAGCAAUUCGUGUGGGUGCUUGUGAUGUAAGACUGAUGAUCGCAAGAUUAUCAGCAACGCAAGUAACACUCGUGAAUUCGAGAGUUUUAUCUCUUUUUAAGAGAAUGCGAUUGCUGAGCCAAGUUUAGGGUUUUCUCAAAACCCAAGCAGUAUUGAACUGAAGAGUUUGAUCAUGGCNNNNNNNNNNNNNNNNNNNNNNNNNNNNNNNNNNNNNNNNNNNNNNNNNNNNNNNNNNNNNNNNNNNNNNNNNNNNNNNNNNNNNNNNNNNNNNNNNNNNCCCCGAGGAAAAGAAAUCAACCGAGAUUCCCCCAGUAGCGGCGAGCGAACGGGGAGCAGCCCGGAGUCUGAAUCAGCUUGUGUGUUAGUGGAAGCGUCUGGAAAGUCGCAGGGUACAGGGUGAUACUCCCGUACACUAAAACGCACAGGUUGUGAACUCGAAGAGUAGGGCGGGACACGUGGUAUCCUGUCUGAAUAUGGGGGGACCAUCCUCCAAGGCUAAAUACUCCUGACUGACCGAUAGUGAACCAGUACCGGGAGGGAAAGGCGAAAAGAACCCCGGCGAGGGGAGUGAAAAAGAACCUGAAACCGUGUACGUACAAGCAGUAGGAGCCCCACCACCAAAGCGUUUCGCUUUGCGUGGUGCGCAAAAUGCGUAACGACAGCGCGAUGGACGGUUAACGGAGCGUAAGCGACGUUCAACAUCAAAAAUCAGGCAGUGGAGCGUUUUGGGGUGGGGUGACUGCGUACCUUUUGUAUAAUGGGUCAGCGACUUAUAUUCUGUAGCAAGGUUAACCGUAUAGGGGAGCCGCAGGGAAACCGAGUCUUAACUGGGCGUUAAGUUGCAGGGUAUAGACCCGAAACCCGGUGAUCUAGCCAUGGGCAGGUUGAAGGUUGGGUAACACUAACUGGAGGACCGAACCGACUAAUGUUGAAAAAUUAGCGGAUGACUUGUGGCUGGGGGUGAAAGGCCAAUCAAACCGGGAGAUAGCUGGUUCUCCCCGAAAGCUAUUUAGGUAGCGCCUCGUGAACUCAUCUUCGGGGGUAGAGCACUGUUUCGGCUAGGGGGUCAUCCCGACUUACCAACCCGAUGCAAACUACGAAUACCGAAGAAUGUUAUCACGGGAGACACACGGCGGGUGCUAACGUCCGUCGUGAAGAGGGAAACAACCCAGACCGCCAGCUAAGGUCCCAAAGUCAUGGUUAAGUGGGAAACGAUGUGGGAAGGCCCAGACAGCCAGGAUGUUGGCUUAGAAGCAGCCAUCAUUUAAAGAAAGCGUAAUAGCUCACUGGUCGAGUCGGCCUGCGCGGAAGAUGUAACGGGGCUAAACCAUGCACCGAAGCUGCGGCAGCGACACUAUGUGUUGUUGGGUAGGGGAGCGUUCUGUAAGCCGUUGAAGGUGGCCUGUGAGGGUUGCUGGAGGUAUCAGAAGUGCGAAUGCUGACAUAAGUAACGAUAAUGCGGGUGAAAAACCCGCACGCCGGAAGACCAAGGGUUCCUGUCCAACGUUAAUCGGGGCAGGGUGAGUCGACCCCUAAGGCGAGGCCGAAAGGCGUAGUCGAUGGGAAACAGGUUAAUAUUCCUGUACUCGGUGUUACUGCGAAGGGGGGACGGAGAAGGCUAUGUUGGCCGGGCGACGGUUGUCCCGGUUUAAGCAUGUAGGCGGAUGUUCCAGGUAAAUCCGGAACGUUACUAACGCUGAGGUGUGAUGACGAGGCACUACGGUGCUGAAGUGACAAAUGCCCUGCUUCCAGGAAAAGCCUCUAAGCAUCAGGUAACAUCAAAUCGUACCCCAAACCGACACAGGUGGUCAGGUAGAGAAUACCAAGGCGCUUGAGAGAACUCGGGUGAAGGAACUAGGCAAAAUGGUGCCGUAACUUCGGGAGAAGGCACGCUGAUGGUAGGUGAAGUGACUUGCUCAUGGAGCUGAAAUCAGUCGAAGAUACCAGCUGGCUGCAACUGUUUAUUAAAAACACAGCACUGUGCAAACACGAAAGUGGACGUAUACGGUGUGACGCCUGCCCGGUGCCGGAAGGUUAAUUGAUGGGGUUAUCCGUAAGGAGAAGCUCUUGAUCGAAGCCCCGGUAAACGGCGGCCGUAACUAUAACGGUCCUAAGGUAGCGAAAUUCCUUGUCGGGUAAGUUCCGACCUGCACGAAUGGCGUAAUGAUGGCCAGGCUGUCUCCACCCGAGACUCAGUGAAAUUGAACUCGCUGUGAAGAUGCAGUGUACCCGCGGCAAGACGGAAAGACCCCGUGAACCUUUACUAUAGCUUGACACUGAACACUGGUCCUUGAUGUGUAGGAUAGGUGGGAGGCUUUGAAGUGUGGACGCCAGUCUGCAUGGAGCCAUCCUUGAAAUACCACCCUUUAAUGGCUGGUGUUCUAACGUGGGCCCCUGAUCGGGGUUGCGGACAGUGUCUGGUGGGUAGUUUGACUGGGGCGGUCUCCUCCUAAAGAGUAACGGAGGAGCACGAAGGUCAGCUAAUCCUGGUCGGACAUCAGGAGGUUAGUGCAAUGGCAUAAGCUGGCUUGACUGCGAGCGUGACGGCGCGAGCAGGUGCGAAAGCAGGUCAUAGUGAUCCGGUGGUUCUGAAUGGAAGGGCCAUCGCUCAACGGAUAAAAGGUACUCCGGGGAUAACAGGCUGAUACCGCCCAAGAGUUCAUAUCGACGGCGGUGUUUGGCACCUCGAUGUCGGCUCAUCACAUCCUGGGGCUGAAGCCGGUCCCAAGGGUAUGGCUGUUCGCCAUUUAAAGUGGUACGCGAGCUGGGUUUAGAACGUCGUGAGACAGUUCGGUCCCUAUCUGCCGUGGACGUUUGAGAUUUGAGAGGGGCUGCUCCUAGUACGAGAGGACCGGAGUGGACGAACCUCUGGUGUUCCGGUUGUCACGCCAGUGGCAUUGCCGGGUAGCUAUGUUCGGAAAAGAUAACCGCUGAAAGCAUCUAAGCGGGAAACUUGCCUCAAGAUGAGAUCUCACUGGGAACUUGAUUCCCCUGAAGGGCCGUCGAAGACUACGACGUUGAUAGGCUGGGUGUGUAAGCGUUGUGAGGCGUUGAGCUAACCAGUACUAAUUGCCCGUGAGGCUUGACCAU